CCUACGGGUGGCAGCAGUGGGGAAUAUUGGGCAAUGGGCGAAAGCCUGACCCAGCAACGCCGCGUGAAGGAAGAAGGCUUUCGGUUUGUAAACUUCUUUUGACAGGGAAGAGCAGAAGACGGUACCUGUCGAAUAAGCCACUGCUAACUACGUGCCAGCCGCCGCGGUAAUACGUAGGGGGCAAGCGUUGUCCGGAUUUACUGGGUGUAAAGGGAGUGUAGACGGGAUGGCAAGUCAGAUGUGAAAUCCGGUGGCUCAACCACCGAACUGCAUUUGAAACUGUUGGUCUUGAGUACAGGAGAGGCAAGCGGAAUUCCUAGUGUAGCGGUGAAAUGCGUAGAUAUUAGGAGGAACACCAGUGGCGAAGGCGGCCUACUGGACGACAACUGACGGUGAGGCGCGAAAGCGUGGGGAGCAAACAGGAUUAGAUACCCGAGUAGUC
Molecule: ribosomal RNA, 442 nt
Filed under: uncultured bacterium
Lineage: Bacteria
Description: partial 16S ribosomal RNA
Rfam family: Bacterial small subunit ribosomal RNA
Source: RNAcentral